Molecule: non-coding RNA, 74 nt
Organism: Podarcis lilfordi (Lilford's wall lizard)
Lineage: Eukaryota; Metazoa; Chordata; Lepidosauria; Squamata; Lacertidae
Source: the annotation of a GenBank genome assembly
ACCUAGGAUAGCUCAGUUGGUAGAACGUGGGAGUCUUAAUCUCAGGGCUGUGGGUUUAAGUACCACAUUAGGCA